ACCUGGGUGGCUCAGUCGGUUGAGCAUCCGACUUUGACUCAGGUCAUGAUCUCCACGGUUUGUGAGUUCGAGCCCCACAUCAGGCU
This 86-nucleotide transfer RNA is filed under the name Felis catus (domestic cat). It matches the Rfam family "tRNA". Rfam says of the family: Transfer RNA (tRNA) molecules are approximately 80 nucleotides in length. Their secondary structure includes four short double-helical elements and three loops (D, anti-codon, and T loops). Further hydrogen bonds mediate the characteristic L-shaped molecular structure. tRNAs have two regions of fundamental functional importance: the anti-codon, which is responsible for specific mRNA codon recognition, and the 3' end, to which the tRNAs corresponding amino acid is attached (by aminoacyl-tRNA synthetases). tRNAs cope with the degeneracy of the genetic code in two manners: having more than one tRNA (with a specific anti-codon) for a particular amino acid; and 'wobble' base-pairing, i.e. permitting non-standard base-pairing at the 3rd anti-codon position. RNAcentral also lists the same sequence under 2 other names. Lineage: Eukaryota; Metazoa; Chordata; Mammalia; Carnivora; Felidae. The record is from Rfam by way of RNAcentral.